AGAGUUUGAUCCUGGCUCAGAACGAACGCUGGCGGCAGGCUUAACACAUGCAAGUCGAACGCUCGUAGCAAUACGGGAGUGGCAGACGGGUGAGUAACGCGUGGGAACAUACCCUCCGGUUCGGAAUAGCUCAGGGAAACUUGGAUUAAUACCGGAUACGGCUGAGAGGCGAAAGAUUUAUCGCCGGAGGAUUGGCCCGCGUUCGAUUAGCUUGUUGGUGAGGUAACGGCUCACCAAGGCGAUGAUCGAUAGCUGGUCUGAGAGGAUGAUCAGCCACAUUGGGACUGAGACACGGCCCAAACUCCUACGGGAGGCAGCAGUGGGGAAUAUUGGACAAUGGGCGCAAGCCUGAUCCAGCCAUGCCGCGUGAGUGAUGACGGCCUUAGGGUUGUAAAGCUCUUUCGCUCGGGACGAUAAUGACGGUACCGAGAUAAGAAGCCCCGGCUAACUUCGUGCCAGCAGCCGCGGUAAUACGAAGGGGGCUAGCGUUGUUCGGAAUUACUGGGCGUAAAGCGCGUGUAGGCGGGUCUUUAAGUCAGGGGUGAAAUGCCAAGGCUCAACCUUGGAACUGCCUUUGAUACUGGAGAUCUUGAGUCCGGGAGAGGUGAGUGGAAUUGCGAGUGUAGAGGUGAAAUUCGUAGAUAUUCGCAAGAACACCAGUGGCGAAGGCGGCUCACUGGCCCGGAACUGACGCUGAGACGCGAAAGCGUGGGGAGCAAACAGGAUUAGAUACCCUGGUAGUCCACGCUGUAAACGAUGGAUGCUAGCCGUUGGGGAGCUUGCUCUUCAGUGGCGCAGCCAACGCUUUAAGCAUCCCGCCUGGGGAGUACGGUCGCAAGAUUAAAACUCAAAGGAAUUGACGG
RNAcentral lists this ribosomal RNA (863 nucleotides) under uncultured Hyphomicrobiales bacterium. RNAcentral describes it as "bacterial SSU rRNA". It matches the Rfam family "Bacterial small subunit ribosomal RNA", at positions 8 to 916 of the family's 1533-position model. Lineage: Bacteria; Pseudomonadati; Pseudomonadota; Alphaproteobacteria; Hyphomicrobiales. The record is from RNAcentral.